Molecule: long non-coding RNA, 851 nt
Organism: Sardina pilchardus (European sardine)
Lineage: Eukaryota; Metazoa; Chordata; Actinopteri; Clupeiformes; Clupeidae
Exons: 3
Source: RefSeq, a predicted model, not a curated record
GUCAGCUGCUUGGUCAGGGAAACAGAGCGGAGUGGAACCGCGAUCACAGGCGAACGUAGGCAGUUAGUUUGCUGGUGUUUCGUGUGUUGAUGGGUGCGUGUGCAGUCCUGGUAAAUGAAUCGCGGAAGCGUCUUUGGGUUUAACGCUGAACGAGCAUGUAAAUAGAACGAAUCUUGAUCUCCGCUGGGACUCUCUCUCUCUCUCGUGAACAGGUGCGUAUUAAUAACAAAGCUAUGAUCCCCUGCUCUGAUGAUCCCCUGCUCUGUACGCUGGGAAUAUUGUUAUCUUAUGUCUCUCAAUAGACUGUGCUGGUGUUACAGGACGUUUGCUUAAUUGCUGUCGUGUACUGGGGCGGAUGGCCUAGCCCUAACCAAAGUAGGUAUCUGGUAGCCUAAUUACCAAAUGAAUUGUUAAGACUUUGGCCUUACAAAGACUUACUCUGACUCUGUGUGUAGCCCGUCGUCAUACCCGGUCCCGUGCGCUCAGUUAUUUGGGCCUACUGGCUUCUGCGUGCUCUGGCUUCUGCGCGCUCUGCCGUUUGCAUGCUUCCAUUCACACAUGGCUAGUCCUUUGUGAAGGAAUUCCAACCCUCGUGAGUGUUUGAAGGUUUACAACUUAUUUCAAUGUUUGCUACCAGUAAGAUGAAGAGGCGUGUGAUAUGUGAAUAACUAAAUCAGUGUGUUUCUGUCUUCGUAGGUCUUCUCAGUUUGUUUACUUUGUUUGGACAUCAGUCACUGUUUUCUCAUGUAUGAAAAUUGCGUAUGAUUUUAUCUUGCAUUCAGGUCUAUGAACUUAUAUUAAUGUCUUGUUCCGAUCAUUGGUAUUGUCUCGUAUUGAGUUAAAUUGUUGUA